RNAcentral lists this long non-coding RNA (4589 nucleotides) under Homo sapiens (human). RNAcentral describes it as "HSALNT0397353". The record is from RNAcentral. Lineage: Eukaryota; Metazoa; Chordata; Mammalia; Primates; Hominidae.
GGCUCUGUGGCAGGGAGUGGGAGGGUGAUUAACAGGGGAAGAAUUAGGAAAGAGGACACGCAAGACCACAGUAAGAGAUGGAAAUAAGAGAAUAUUCCUGAUUUCCACUGGAUGACUUUGACUGGUAUGAUUUCAUUCUCUGAAAGUGUUAACCAGGGUGCAGCAUGGCCAGAAACCAUUCCGAGCCUCAUGAAGUGGGCAAGUCAGGUUUGGUCAUUUUUGGUAAUGUCAUUGCAUGUACACAGUUUAAGACAGAGCAUCUGGUGAUUCUCGGACCUUCAAGCAAGUGUCACAUCUCAGGUGAACCUUGGCAGUUUUAAGAUGAACAAAGUAAUCAAAGCAAAAAUGUCAAAUAAUAAUAAUAAUAAUGAUAUCAGAAGAAUGUCCAGUGCCAUGGUUGGAUUCCCAGAAGGCAGCAUCUGCUCAUGCCAUCAACAACAUGGUGCCAUUUCAGUCAUCCUCUUUUUGUCCCAAAGACAGAAAAAAAAUAGAAAAAAGAAAGAGAAAAAGACACCACGAACCGUCUAUCCUCCUGGUAAUACAAAUACACCUGUAAAUAAACAUGUCAAUGUCUACACACAACGCACAUUUAUGCAGAAUCCAUCCUCUCGGUGCUUCCGUAGUUAUCAAGUAAAAGUCCUUCUAAGCCUAAGAAAUGAUAGUAUUAAUUCAGUCUUGGGGUGUGGGGGGAAAGGUGGACUAUCAUCAAAUAAAAAAGGCGAGGCUAAUUAAGUGACAUCCACUGGGGACUGGGAAAAGAAGAGACUUCUUGUGGGAAAGUAAUUAUAUCUUCAUUGACCCUCCUGGGGUACCCCCAGUGGCAGGGACUCUGCCUCGCGGUGUGACAUCUCCUUUCGGGAUGAGCAGCCAGUCACCUCGAGAAGCCCCCUUCUCCAUGGAUGCGUUUUCUAAUCAUUUCACAUGAUUGAGCCUCCAGCAAGUGAUGCUUUACUUAAUUCCUUUCCGCCUGUAGGGUGUGAGGUUUGGAGGGCCUCUCGUCAAAACUUUGGAGGGCUCUGUCAGUUUGAAAAGAACAUGACCUUUAAAUUGUAUCAGUAUGUUUGCUGGUGCAUAAGGGAGAGGAAAAGGUUCGUCCUGAUGGAAAACCACUCAGAAGCCAAGGAGUAAUUCAGAGGGAACCAGCCCAGGAAGAAUCAAGAAAGCUGCCCACAGUGUCAUUCUUCAGCUGAGAAAAGAGAGAGUUGACUAACUCCUCGGACUGGAGUGAGGACUCACAGAGGUGGUGAGAAGCCAUCCUCUCUUGAAUGGGGGCUCCCACUGUACAUCUGGCACCCACUUCACAGAUUCUGGGGGAUGUCAACACCAGCACUGCUGAGCUGUGUGACCUUGAGCAAGACAGUUAGCCUCUCUGAACCUCAGUGUCCUUCUCUGUAGGCUGGAGAUUGAUAUACCUUCAUUAUCGGGGUAUGAGAGUGUUAUAAGGUGGGAUGGUGGAACACGCUGACUGGUCUGGGCUAUUCAAGAUCCAUGAACUGGAAGAUGCUUUCUUAUAACUCAGAGAAAAGAGAUGAAAAUGAAUCAAAGAACAGGAAGGAGACAAGCUCAGGAGGGUAAGACUCCUGGGAAUUUGGAAGCUGAGACUUGAGGCAAGUAUUUAGGAUUUGCUGUCUCACCUCCCUGCUAUGACAGUCCUUAAUUAAUGGAGAUGAUGGAGAACAGCUUGCUGGGCUGAGUGGCAGGAGCCAUGCAGCUGCUGGGGCUGGAGUGGGUCAGGAAGCUUCAUCAAUCUGGGACACAUGACGUGCUUGGUGGUGGCGGAGCCUGACGCAUCCCUCUUCAUCGACAUUGUGUCAAUAGGAGCAGAGGCAUUUAGCUGUGUAAACACAGAGCUUCAGUGGCAGCACCCUAAAUGCUUAGCUGAUAGAUCCGGAAUUAAAUACAGACCUAGAAACUGGAGUUGGAAAACUUCCUGGCAGCACUCCUUCCCUGCCAUCCCGGUGAUCCCCUUCUGGAUGGAGGGUGUGGAGCUCAGCACAUUCACGUCUGCAGUUCUCAGAGAACCAAGUGUUAAGGAAUGUCAGGGAAGGAAGAAGGCAGCCAGCCAGGAAGGGGAGGUCCUGGCCUGAGCACGCCAGGCACAGAGGGAUAGAGGGUAGGGAGGAAACUGCACCUGUCUCCAACCCUCGACCCCAGCCCCGAAACACGACAUUGGCUGAAACAGAUUAAAAGCAUAAAAUGGCCCAAAGAAAUGGGAGAAGGUUGGCCUCUGGUCGGGCAAACAUGAGGGCAUGAAGAUAUAUAAUGUCCCACACGGGAGGAAACCCUUGCCGGGCCCCUCAGGAUUUAUAACAAGCUCACCUGAAGGAGAAACUUCAGGGGCACUUACACCAUCAGAUACCUAGAAAGGAGCUGUCAUUUCCUCACUGAAGAGUUUGCAAGCAGAUGGUAAAAGGGGUUUAAUUUGAAAACACUGAAACAUCGUGUUCGCUCAAAACCAUGACAAUUGCAGUUUUAUUGUCUCCACUCAGGAAAAUGUGUGUCUGGAUCAUCUUGUGGCCCGAAUGGGGAGAAAAGCAGCACAAGAAUGGAAUAGUACAGUGGCUACGAACACAGAAACCACACUCCAGGCCCAGUCCCCGGCAGUGGCCUCCAGGACCCACUCUGAGCUAGAUCACAUCAGUGAUGGGCUGGCCAAUCUUUAAGGAGAAUGACUCUACUCUUAGGAAGCCAGCAGGUUGGAGGAGGAAACACAUUCAAAUCCCGAGCACAAGGAGCUGGGAGAAGACCGGUUAUGGGAGCGGCAUUCCUGGAAGCUCUGAAGUCACAGCCCCACUGAUGAAAGGAUGUAAGAACCUAAGAGUGGAAACCUGCCCCUGGGAUUCAUAUGGUGUCCCCUCAGGACUCAAACCCUGGUCUGGUAUGCUCAGUAAAUGAAUGAAUAUACCCACUACACCCCAGGUUAUUUUUUUUCUGAAGACAUCGUUUGACACAGAGGGAACACUGUAGAUAAGAAGCCCAACCCUGUUAGAAAGCAGAAGGGUUUGUUUGGGAAAAGGAAACAAAAUAUAUUUUUAAGCUCCAUAAACAUAUGAUGAAUGCUAACAAGGUAUUUUCAAAAUAAGAAGCACAUAGAAACAGCUUAUGUUUCUGGUCAAAUGAAGUUGUAAUCAAAUCGUUAUCAAAGCAAAAAAAAAGAGAGGAAGAAAUCAAAAUGAGUCAGAAGAGUUUUUGGAAAGAUUCAGCAACUUAACUGACUUGAAGAGAUUUCCCUUGUCUCAGUCUUACUGCUGCUUCUAGGGGAACACAGUUUUGCACGGGAAUCGAGGCCAACUUGCAACCCACAGGCACUCUGGAGGAACAAAGAAAGUAUCGCCUGCAACUCACCACGGUCUCUCUCUCUUAAGCCCUUGCUCUUGCCAGAAGAAGUUUCACACAAAGGUUUGCCUGCGAGGCUGCGCUUUCCUCUCCAGAUCAGCAGAAACAACUUACCAGCAGAAAUACUUAAUGACGGAGCCAAGACUGGCACAGCCACGCGGUCACAGCUUUGUUCCCAAGAAGCAAGCCAAUUAGCAGCCCUGGUUAUUAUUUACAUUUCCCGCAAUAUAUCACUAAAAUUGUGUUGAUGAUUUAUCAUUUAUAUUAUGUUAUUGUCAGCAUAAUUUAUUCAGAUCAUGCUGAGAUACCUGGAAAAUUAAGUAAAAGAAAAAGAAGUGGCAUUGAAUUCAUCGGGUUUGAAAGAUAUUUCUCAGCUUCUUUUUUCUCUCCCUCUCUUUCUCUCUCUCUCUCUCUUUUAAUGAGGAUAGAUGUUAAGAAAAAUCAUGGAUCACUUAGCUAUUAAAUUGUUCCAGGAUCAUCUGCAUUAAAAGUUUGCUCAGUAUUCUUUUGUGAGAGAACAUGGCUUGGGCGUUCAUUUGGAUUUUCUUCUGGAACCUUUUCUUUCAGUCUAUUAUUUCAAAGUAAAAAAAAAAGGAAAUGCAAUCCUCUUUAGUUUAGAGCAAAGCAGAGUGGAUUAAUGAGGGGCUGGAGGCUUCUCUUCCAAUUUAUAAAACAUCCUUAUCUUCUGCCUUAUAUUCUAUUUGCCCCACCCUCUGGGAAAUAAUUGUUGCUUAUCAGAAUUAGAGAUAAAAUAUUCCAGUUGUUGAAGCCAUUCAUCAUCUAGGCAUUCUAGAAAAGCAGUUACUGAACUAGAGGCAGCAUUUUGAGCAUCAGAGCUCUGGGUUCUAGUCCCAGGUCUGUCCAGGCUUUGUGUGAUUCCAGGAGUCACUGAAGCUAUCCUGCUUCUGUUUCCCCAGCAGUGGGAUUCAUGGAUGUCCAGGAUCAGGCUUGCUGGGUCUGCCCCAGGUCUUCAGAAUCAGACUGCCUGGGGAAGGCACAUGGAGGUCUUUUUGACAGGUGUCAUAGGUGAUACUUCUACACACUUCAGUUAGAAAAGUCAUUGGGCUUACAUAUGCCUGCAGCCACUUCCAGCUCCAGUCUUCCUAGAGUUCUACGGACUCUAAUUAUAUGGCAUGUUUUGCAUAUUUCUGAAACUUCAUAUGGGAAACAAACUUUUGGAAAUUGAUUCAUUUAAGAAUCUGUGGCCAGGCGUGGUGGCUCACGACUGUAAUCCCAGCACUUUGGGAGGCUGA